RNAcentral lists this ribosomal RNA (637 nucleotides) under uncultured bacterium. RNAcentral's name for it is "bacterial SSU rRNA". It matches the Rfam family "Bacterial small subunit ribosomal RNA", at positions 233 to 883 of the family's 1533-position model. The record is from RNAcentral.
GCGUCUGAUUAGCUAGUUGGUGAGGGUAACGGCCCACCAAGGCGACGAUCAGUAGCCGGCCUGAGAGGGGGAUCGGCCACACUGGAACUGAGAAACGGUCCAGAUUCUACGGGAGGGCAGCAGUGGGGAAUAUUGGGCAAUGGGGGAAACCCUGACCCAGCAACGCCGCGUGAGGGAAGAAGGCUUUCGGGUCGUAAACCUCUGUCCCAUGUGAAGAGAAGAGGACGGUAGCAUGGGAGGAAGCCCCGGCUAACUACGUGCCAGCAGCCGCGGUAAUACGUAGGGGGCGAGCGUUGUCCGGAAUGAUUGGGCGUAAAGGGCGCGUAGGCGGCCUAAUAAGUCUGGAGUGGAAGUCCCGCUUUCAAGGUGGGAAUUGCUUUGGAAACUGUUGGGCUUGAGUGUGGGAGAGGAAAGCGGAAUUCCCGGUGUAGCGGUGAAAUGCGUAGAGAUCGGGAGGAACACCAGUGGCGAAGGCGGCUUUCUGGACCAUAACUGACGCUGAGGCGCGAAAGCGUGGGGAGCAAACAGGAUUGAAUACCCUGGUAGUCCACGCUGUAAACGAUGAAUGCUAGGUGUAGGAGGUAUCGACCCCUUCUGUGCCGGUGUUAACACAAUAAGCAUUCCGCCUGGGGAGUAC